GCCUAAUACAUGCAAGUCGAACGAACUCUGGUAUUGAUUGGUGCUUGCAUCAUGAUUUACAUUUGAGUGAGUGGCGAACUGGUGAGUAACACGUGGGAAACCUGCCCAGAAGCGGGGGAUAACACCUGGAAACAGAUGCUAAUACCGCAUAACAACUUGGACCGCAUGGUCCGAGCUUGAAAGAUGGCUUCGGCUAUCACUUUUGGAUGGUCCCGCGGCGUAUUAGCUAGAUGGUGGGGUAACGGCUCACCAUGGCAAUGAUACGUAGCCGACCUGAGAGGGUAAUCGGCCACAUUGGGACUGAGACACGGCCCAAACUCCUACGGGAGGCAGCAGUAGGGAAUCUUCCACAAUGGACGAAAGUCUGAUGGAGCAACGCCGCGUGAGUGAAGAAGGGUUUCGGCUCGUAAAACUCUGUUGUUAAAGAAGAACAUAUCUGAGAGUAACUGUUCAGGUAUUGACGGUAUUUAACCAGAAAGCCACGGCUAACUACGUGCCAGCAGCCGCGGUAAUACGUAGGUGGCAAGCGUUGUCCGGAUUUAUUGGGCGUAAAGCGAGCGCAGGCGGUUUUUUAAGUCUGAUGUGAAAGCCUUCGGCUCAACCGAAGAAGUGCAUCGGAAACUGGGAAACUUGAGUGCAGAAGAGGACAGUGGAACUCCAUGUGUAGCGGUGAAAUGCGUAGAUAUAUGGAAGAACACCAGUGGCGAAGGCGGCUGUCUGGCUGUAACUGACGCUGAGGCU
RNAcentral lists this ribosomal RNA (741 nucleotides) under Lactiplantibacillus plantarum. Its description in RNAcentral is "bacterial SSU rRNA". It matches the Rfam family "Bacterial small subunit ribosomal RNA", at positions 46 to 753 of the family's 1533-position model. The record is from RNAcentral. Lineage: Bacteria; Bacillati; Bacillota; Bacilli; Lactobacillales; Lactobacillaceae.